UGGGGAAUAUUGCACAAUGGGCGAAAGCCUGAUGCAGCAACGCCGCGUGAGUGAUGAAGGCCUUCGGGUUGUAAAGCUCUGUCUUUUGGGACGAUAAUGACGGUACCAAAGGAGGAAGCCACGGCUAAUUACGUGCCAGCAGCCGCGGUAAUACGUAGGUGGCAAGCGUUGUCCGGAUUUACUGGGCGUAAAGGAUGCGUAGGCGGAUUUUUAAGUGAGAUGUGAAAACCCUAAGCUUAACUUGGGGACUGCAUUUCAUACUGGAAAUCUAGAGUGCGGGAGAGGAGAAUGGAAUUCCUAGUGUAGCGGUGAAAUGCGUAGAGAUUAGGAAGAACACCAGUGGCGAAGGCGAUUCUCUGGACCGUAACUGACGCUGAGGCAUGAAAGCGUGGGUAGCAAACAGGAUUAGAUACCCUGGUAGUCCACGCCGUAAACGAUGAGUACUAGGUGUAGGAGGUAUCGACCCCUUCUGUGCCGCAGUUAACACAAUAAGUACUCCGCCUGGGAAGUACGAUCGCAAGAUUAAAAACUCAAAGGAAUUGACGGGGUCAUAGCUGUUUCCU
RNAcentral lists this ribosomal RNA (563 nucleotides) under uncultured bacterium. RNAcentral describes it as "partial 16S ribosomal RNA". It matches the Rfam family "Bacterial small subunit ribosomal RNA", at positions 355 to 1375 of the family's 1533-position model. The record is from RNAcentral.